Molecule: long non-coding RNA, 1531 nt
Organism: Puntigrus tetrazona (Sumatra barb)
Lineage: Eukaryota; Metazoa; Chordata; Actinopteri; Cypriniformes; Cyprinidae
Exons: 3
Source: RefSeq, a predicted model, not a curated record
GGGACGGUAGGGCGGUGUCAUGAAACAGAAUAAAUGUAAUAUUCACGAAUAGGCGUGCAGUUUGUUUUCUGCGGUAAAUGUGCAAAUAUGUAGAUAUAGCUGAACACAAGUGAAGCCAUGGAAUUAAUUAAAUGGAUUGUACUUGAAUGUCGUUAAAAUACACGAUUGAAGAAAAAAAAUAACAAUUAAAUAAUAAGAAGAAAUAAUAACAGUCCAGGCGUAUUUGAUCUAAAAUGACGUUUCUAAGAAUUAAUAUAAAUGAGAAUAAUAGCAAUAAAAAUAUAAUUAAUCAAUAAUUCAAUCAAUAAUUUGUAGUGAAUUAUAACCAGAUGUGUUCCAAAAUCAACAAUCAAAUAAUAGAAAUGACCAUAACAACAAAAUUACUAAUACUACUACUAAUAAUAACAUCAAUACAUUAUUAUUAUAGUCUAAAAUUAGCCGUAAUAUUUCUCAAUUUUAUUUAGUCUAAAAUGACCAAUACAUCCUUAAAACUAACCAUAUUACUAUUAUUAUUAUUAUUAUUAUUAUUAUUAUAGUCUAAAAUUAGCCGUAAUAUUUCUCAAUUUUAUUUAGUCUAAAAUGACCAAUACAUCCUUAAAACUAACCAUAUAUUAUUAUUAUUAUUAUUAUUAUUAUUAUUAUUAUUAUAACAACAACUUCGGAGUAAAAAAUAACAGAUAUGAUCAAAGACAACAAUAAACUAAAAACAAUAAGCAUAAACAAGACAAUACAAUUUUUUUAAAAGAGAAAUACAACACAGAUUUGUUUACCAACAGUAAAAUAACAAUAGAUAAAUAUAAGUUAUUUCAUUUUAAAUAACAUUUCCAAUUACUACUGUAAAAUAUCUAAUAACGACUACAUACUAAUAGCCAUAAUAAUAAUAAUUUUGGAGUGAAACAAAUCUGUGUUCAAAACCAAUAAAAUAAUAAUAACCUUAACAAGAACAGCAACAACAAUAGCAGGCUAAUAGUAAAUAAAUAAAAUUGUAUCGGAGUAGAUUUUGUGAAGCAAAAGUCUGUAAUUCUACUGUAAAUAUGAAUAUCUGUUGAUUAUACAAAAACAAAUAAAUAAACCAUCUAAAAACGAUUACCACCUUCAUCGGCUACAGCGAGCACGCGCCGCUAGGCGGCAGCAGCGGAAAGAGCUCACGUGCGUAGACCUCGCUGAACCGGAAGUGCGUAUAACACCAGCUGAUGAGAUAAACGGGAAAUCCGCGAAGCAUAUUUUAUGCGUUUAUUGUUUAUUUACAGUGCAUUUUUGUAAAUGUACAGUAAGCUGAGAGUCGGUUAAGAGCAGCAACUUGAUCCUCCUGUAAUAUAAAGUUAAUAAGUCGCUGAAGCAUAAUGCCUGAAGUGAAGUCGAUGUUUAGAGAGGUCCUGCCUAAACAAGACAAAGUUGAAAGACGUCCCGCAUGACAAUCAAAACAGCUACAGCACUGGAGGCAACGGCUCAACUUCAGACCGGAUCUUGCUGCAAACACCCAGAGCAUGAGGGCUGUGUUGCGUUUUAUCUGUGCAGGUCAGCUGUCCAU